Molecule: ribosomal RNA, 495 nt
Filed under: uncultured bacterium
Lineage: Bacteria
Description: partial 16S ribosomal RNA
Rfam family: Bacterial small subunit ribosomal RNA
Source: RNAcentral
GAUGAACGCUGGCGGCGUGCCUAAUACAUGCAAGUCGAGCGAACGGACGAGAAGCUUGCUUCUCUGAUGUUAGCGGCGGACGGGUGAGUAACACGUGGAUAACCUACCUAUAAGACUGGGAUAACUUCGGGAAACCGGAGCUAAUACCGGAUAAUAUUUUGAACCGCAUGGUUCAAAAGUGAAAGACGGUCUUGCUGUCACUUAUAGAUGGAUCCGCGCUGCAUUAGCUAGUUGGUAAGGUAACGGCUUACCAAGGCAACGAUGCAUAGCCGACCUGAGAGGGUGAUCGGCCACACUGGAACUGAGACACGGUCCAGACUCCUACGGGAGGCAGCAGUAGGGAAUCUUCCGCAAGGGGCGAAAGCCUGACGGAGCAACGCCGCGUGAGUGAUGAAGGUCGUCGGAUCGUAAAACUCUGUUAUUAGGGAAGAACAUAUGUGUAAGUAACUGUGCACAUCUUGACGGUACCUAAUCAGAAAGCCACGGCUAACUACG